Neogale vison (American mink) is the source of this 146-nucleotide small nuclear RNA. RefSeq annotates it as U4 spliceosomal RNA. The record is from RefSeq and is a predicted model, not a curated record. NCBI's taxonomy places the organism in Eukaryota, Metazoa, Chordata, Mammalia, Carnivora, Mustelidae. The transcript has a single exon.
AGCUUUGUGCAGUGGCAGUAUCGUAGCCAAUGAGGUUUAUCCGAGGCGCGAUUAUUGCUAAGUUCUCCCUGGACACCAAGCAGCAUUGUGACCUGUCAGACUGAGAACCUCUGUCAACUCUGAUCACUUGAAACUUCGAACAAGAG